AUGGAAGUACAACAGUUAUAUUCGUUGAACUCUACUGAGAAUUUUGGUGCAGAACAUAACACCAAUAACGAGUUUACCACAAAUACACAAGACGAAGAAAUUUUUAGGAUACCAGAAGAUGAUUAUAGCUAUUUGGAUGAAACAUCUUNAGCUCCGGAAGUUUUUCACGAAAUACAUACUGUACACGAAAUCAUUGACAAUAAUAGAUCUCCACGAGUGGAAGGAACUUGCAUUAUAUGUAUAAAUGAAAGAGCGUCCUAUGUCUUUGUGCCAUGUGGACAUUUAUGCUCAUGUGAAAAUUGUUAUAGCAAUUUAGUUCAUAGAANAUGUCCAAUGUGUAACUUACAAUAUGAUAAUUGCAUAAGAACAAUAUCAUCAUAAAAAAGAAAUAUCAUCAAUUCAUUGAGUGCAGUUACAAGUGCUGCCUCUUCUAAAAAAAUGACAAAAAUACAAAAGGUAAAUCGUCCAAACCGGAAAACUACCAUCAAUAAAUAAGUAACAUUUACACAACGCAAUAUGAAUUUCGAUAGAGUUAUUUUGUAGUGUUUGAUUAUACAUAUGUGAUAUUCUAUGAUAAUUUGUUUACACUGGUGCUAUAAGUAAUAGUAAAUAAGAAUAAGUAACUUUUAAGUUUACAAUAGACUUAGUACUCGCCAAAGACAGUUUAUUCGUCGUCCACUUGGAUUGUAAGUUUUCGUUCUAUUUCUUAUUCUC
Long non-coding RNA from Pseudomyrmex gracilis, 714 nucleotides. RefSeq lists it as uncharacterized. The transcript is spliced from 3 exons. Lineage: Eukaryota; Metazoa; Arthropoda; Insecta; Hymenoptera; Formicidae. The record is from RefSeq and is a predicted model, not a curated record.